GACGAACGCUGGCGGCGUGCCUAAUACAUGCAAGUAGAACGCUGAAGGAGGAGCUUGCUUCUCUGGAUGAGUUGCGAACGGGUGAGUAACGCGUAGGUAACCUGCCUGGUAGCGGGGGAUAACUAUUGGAAACGAUAGCUAAUACCGCAUAAUAGUAGAUGUUGCAUGACAUUUGCUUAAAAGGUGCAAUUGCAUCACUACCAGAUGGACCUGCGUUGUAUUAGCUAGUUGGUGGGGUAACGGCUCACCAAGGCGACGAUACAUAGCCGACCUGAGAAGGUGAUCGGCCACACUGGGACUGAGACACGGCCCAGACUCCUACGGGAGGCAGCAGGAGGGAAUCUUCGGCAAUGGACGGAAGUCUGACCGAGCAACGCCGCGUGAGUGAAGAAGGUUUUCGGAUCGUAAAGCUCUGUUGUAAGAGAAGAACGAGUGUGAGAGUGGAAAGUUCACACUGUGACGGUAUCUUAAGAGAAAGGGACGGCUAACUACGUG
This 495-nucleotide ribosomal RNA is filed under the name uncultured bacterium. RNAcentral's name for it is "partial 16S ribosomal RNA". It matches the Rfam family "Bacterial small subunit ribosomal RNA", at positions 28 to 507 of the family's 1533-position model. The record is from RNAcentral.